UUUUUUUUUCGUUUUUUU
Molecule: small RNA, 18 nt
Filed under: Arabidopsis thaliana (thale cress)
Lineage: Eukaryota; Viridiplantae; Streptophyta; Magnoliopsida; Brassicales; Brassicaceae
Description: ATSL051540
Source: RNAcentral